RNAcentral lists this ribosomal RNA (920 nucleotides) under Nocardia sp. RNAcentral's name for it is "bacterial SSU rRNA". It matches the Rfam family "Bacterial small subunit ribosomal RNA", at positions 68 to 1002 of the family's 1533-position model. Lineage: Bacteria; Bacillati; Actinomycetota; Actinomycetes; Mycobacteriales; Nocardiaceae. The record is from RNAcentral.
GGUAAGGCCCUUCGGGGUACACGAGCGGCGAACGGGUGAGUAACACGUGGGUGAUCUGCCCUGUACUUCGGGAUAAGCCUGGGAAACUGGGUCUAAUACCGGAUAUGACCACUGGUCGCAUGGUUGGUGGUGGAAAGAUUUAUCGGUACAGGAUGGGCCCGCGGCCUAUCAGCUUGUUGGUGGGGUAAUGGCCUACCAAGGCGACGACGGGUAGCCGACCUGAGAGGGUGACCGGCCACACUGGGACUGAGACACGGCCCAGACUCCUACGGGAGGCAGCAGUGGGGAAUAUUGCACAAUGGGCGAAAGCCUGAUGCAGCGACGCCGCGUGAGGGAUGACGGCCUUCGGGUUGUAAACCUCUUUCGACAGGGACGAAGCGUAAGUGACGGUACCUGUAGAAGAAGCACCGGCCAACUACGUGCCAGCAGCCGCGGUAAUACGUAGGGUGCGAGCGUUGUCCGGAAUUACUGGGCGUAAAGAGCUUGUAGGCGGUUUGUCGCGUCGUUUGUGAAAACUUGGGGCUCAACCCCAAGCUUGCAGGCGAUACGGGCAGACUAGAGUACUUCAGGGGAGACUGGAAUUCCUGGUGUAGCGGUGAAAUGCGCAGAUAUCAGGAGGAACACCGGUGGCGAAGGCGGGUCUCUGGGAAGUAACUGACGCUGAGAAGCGAAAGCGUGGGUAGCGAACAGGAUUAGAUACCCUGGUAGUCCACGCCGUAAACGGUGGGUACUAGGUGUGGGUUUCCUUCCACGGGAUCCGUGCCGUAGCUAACGCAUUAAGUACCCCGCCUGGGGAGUACGGCCGCAAGGCUAAAACUCAAAGGAAUUGACGGGGGCCCGCACAAGCGGCGGAGCAUGUGGAUUAAUUCGAUGCAACGCGAAGAACCUUACCUGGGUUUGACAUACACCAGAAAGCUGCA